GCUGAUAAUCUGAUUCAGUGUCGGUCGAACGACUUGGCAAACGGUUGUUCGUCGCUUUUUUGUGUGUGUGUGGUCGGUCCCGGGCAGCGCGCGUUCGAUCACGGUUGAAAUAUAAUAUUAUUGUCCCGUUCUCUUGUGUUUUUGUAUAAUCGCACGUCGUUUUUUUUUAUAUUAUAUCUUCGUCAACGUUGUAAUUAUUAUUAUUAAUGCCUUUUGUCUUACCGACCGCCGAUCCUUAUCACGCGCAUAAGUGUCCCACUGCCGAGACGAAACAACAAUAGCAGUCAUUCUUCGAUUAUAAAAAUUUAAUAUUUGUAAUAAUUCAAAACGUGUACGUUGGCUAGUGUACAAUACACACACGAUAUUUCACGGGACGUACGUGUAGCUGACCGUGUCGGUGAAUUCGCGGACUCUCUGGUCGUCGUCGUCGUCGUCGUCGAUUUUCUCGCACCGUAAAUGAGAACGAAACCAGCCGUGCGCCGGAAUUCGUGGACUAACCGUCACUGACGUACUGUUAUGGCUGUGGUCGGCCCGAGCCGACACUCCAGGGUGUCAAUGUCGCUGAUGCAGGGCUCGACGAACGGUCCAGUCGGCAACCACCAGCAGGCCAGCGCCUCGCAACAGUUUUUCCACGCUCAACAGCAGUCUCACCAUGCCGCACAAUCGGCCACCGCACAUCCGGUAGACUAUAAGCCGGACAGACCUAUUGGAUAUGGCGCCUUUGGAGUAGUCUGGGCUGUCACAGAUCCACGAGACGGACGAAGAGUCGCGUUGAAAAAGCUUCCAAAUGUUUUUCAAUCUCUAGUUUCUUCAAAACGAGUUUUUAGAGAGUUAAAAAUGUUAUGCAAUUUUAAACACGAAAAUGUAUUGUCCGCCCUUGACAUUCUGCAACCGCCUCAUUUGGAUUUCUUUCAAGAAAUAUACGUGAUAACCGAACUAAUGCAGAGCGACUUGCACAAAAUUAUAGUGUCGCCACAGCAGCUGUCGCCGGACCACAUAAAAGUUUUCCUCUAUCAAAUCCUUAGGGGUCUCAAGUAUCUGCAUUCUGCACGAAUAUUGCACAGGGACAUCAAACCAGGAAAUCUGCUCGUCAAUAGUAAUUGUAUUUUAAAGAUAUGUGACUUUGGUCUGGCCAGAGUAGAAGAACCGGACGAGACGAAACACAUGACUCAAGAAGUGGUAACACAAUAUUAUAGGGCGCCGGAAAUAUUGAUGGGAGCCAAACACUACACAUCGGCCAUAGACGUGUGGAGCGUCGGUUGUAUAUUCGCUGAACUCGUCACUCGGCGGAUACUGUUCCAAGGCCAAGACACAGUUCAACAAUUGGAGUUGAUAACGGACUUGCUCGGUACGCCAACCAUGGAAGACAUGGCUCACGCGUGUCCGGCCGCCCGUUCCCACAUGCUCAUACGACGCAUGAAGAAACCGUCCAUGUCGCUAUUGUACUCUCUGUCUUCGUUGAUGACGCACGAGGCGGUUCACUUGAUUUCCCAAAUGCUAGUUUUCAACCCGGAUAAACGGAUGUCCGUUAUGGAUGCGCUAGUCCAUCCUUACAUAGACGAGGGUCGUCUCAGGUAUCACAGCUGCAUGUGCAAAUGCUGUUUCACGGUACCAUUGACGGGUCUCCGGCAUUUCUGUAUGGACUACGAACCGGUUGCGCCACAGACCUUCGACGACAAAUGGGAGAAGAAAAUGUCAAACGUACAACAAGUCAAAGAGGAACUUCAUAAGUUUAUCGGCGAUCAGUUGAGCAGUCACCGUGUGCCAUUGUGCAUAAAUCCCCAGUCGGCGGCAUUUAAAAGUUUCUCAAGGUAAGGCUGUGAGAAACGUCCAACUCUUCUGAACCACCAAAUAAACUACACCUCGACUAACUGUGAUGUUUGAUCGGAGCAGACUGCCUCAAUUCCUUAUAUUUAUAUGUAUUUACAUUGUAUAUAUAUAUUAUAUUAACGUGAUAACCGGAUCUCAAAUUGGGCCCCCCGAGACCGAGACUGAAUGAAUAUAACACAAUGAAAUCGAGACAAGAAGAUUAAACAUAAAAAAAAAAAAUUGUACAUAGUUCUGAAUUUUUAUUUCUUUCUUUUUAUUGUAUGUGUGAGCAAAAUGCUUGAUUUUUACUUAUUUAGACGAUUGAAAGCUCAGUGUCCAACUUUUAUUAUUAUUAUUUUUUUUUUUAGUACGCUUAUUUUCUUAUUAUAAUUAUGAUUUUUUUUUUUUAAUUAUUAUUUUUUUUUUACCGACGAUAAAACCGUUUUUUUCCGAUUCUUAAUGUUUACCAAUAUUACAUGAUAACUUAAAUGUUUAUAAUUAUGAAAAAAUAUAAAUAAUAUUCGUUUUUUAAACCUUACUCGUCCGGUAAUGAUAUUAAAAGCAUACGCACACGGUAAACGCUAUCGGCUUAAAAACCUAGCAUGAGCUUUAAACGGUUAUAAAAUAUUGUUAUGUAUCGGAAAGACGUUUAUUUUUAUUUUUUAAUUAUGUACAAUAUAUUAACGCGUUAAAAGACGAAUACGACAACGCGGUCAUGCGCGUGGAAAAUACUUUUUGUAAAUAACGUACCUAAGUGAUUUUUAUUUUUUUCGUAAUGUAAAUAAUUAUUUGUACAUUUUAAAUGUGUAUAAUAUGUAUGUGAAUCGCACUUAAUUGUCAUGUUCUUUUUCGCGAACCCGAAAAACGACCACGCUGUAUAGUAAUAAUGUCACUAUUUUUAUUUUUUCUCCUCCAUCCAUCUAUGUAUUGUUCAAUCGACGUAAUAUACGUUAUUUUGUAUUCAAAAUACGCCUAAUAACACAAAAUGCAUACAUUCAGAGUGUUAUAGUUUUUAAGUAAUCAUCUGUACGGGUCGGAUUAUAAUAUAAUAUAUUUUAACAACAUAUAUAUUUUAUUAUAUAAUUUCACAGAUUUUUAAAACAUGAUAUUUGUAAUAGCUGUGUGAAUUAUUAUCAUUAUAUUUUUUUCUUUUUUUUUUUUUUUGUUAACAAAUAGAGCGGGUGAUUUAUUAAAUUUUAAUAAUAUA
RNA transcript from Aphis gossypii (cotton aphid), 3016 nucleotides. It is a transcript of the gene named serine/threonine-protein kinase NLK, with no coding region annotated. NCBI's taxonomy places the organism in Eukaryota, Metazoa, Arthropoda, Insecta, Hemiptera, Aphididae. The record is from RefSeq and is a predicted model, not a curated record. The transcript is spliced from 9 exons.